RNAcentral lists this ribosomal RNA (585 nucleotides) under uncultured bacterium. RNAcentral's name for it is "partial 16S ribosomal RNA". It matches the Rfam family "Bacterial small subunit ribosomal RNA", at positions 355 to 1375 of the family's 1533-position model. The record is from RNAcentral.
UGGGGAAUUUUGGACAAUGGGCGAAAGCCUGAUCCAGCGAUGCCGCGUGUGUGAAGAAGGCCUUCGGGUUGUAAAGCACUUUUGUCCGGAAAGAAAUCCUUGGCUCUAAUACAGUCGGGGGAUGACGGUACCGGAAGAAUAAGCACCGGCUAACUACGUGCCAGCAGCCGCGGUAAUACGUAGGGUGCAAGCGUUAAUUGGAAUUACUGGGCGUAAAGCGUGCGCAGGCGGUUUGCUAAGACCGAUGUGAAAUCCCCGGGCUCAACCUGGGAACUGCAUUGGUGACUGGCAGGCUAGAGUAUGGCAGAGGGGGGUAGAAUUCCACGUGUAGCAGUGAAAUGCGUAGAGAUGUGGAGGAAUACCGAUGGCGAAGGCAGCCCCCUGGGCCAAUACUGACGCUCAUGCACGAAAGCGUGGGGAGCAAACAGGAUUAGAUACCCUGGUAGUCCACGCCCUAAACGAUGUCAACUAGUUGUUGGGGAUUCAUUUCCUUAGUAACGUAGCUAACGCGUGAAGUUGACCGCCUGGGGAGUACGGUCGCAAGAUUAAAACUUAAAUGAAUUGACGGGGUCAUAGCUGUUUCCU